UUAUAAUUUGCCUCAAUUUAGGGUAAAGAUAUAGUCCGAUCUCGUAAGCGAUUACGAGGACCGUAUUGGUCACUCCGAAAUUCGGAGGAACAUUAAUGUAGAGACCUGUGUAGUCCCAGCCGUAAACGAUCUCUGCUAGAUAGCCGGUUUUCUGGCUGUCGCAGCUAACGCGUUAAGCAGAGCGCCUGGGGAGUACGAGCGCAAGCUUAAAACUCAAAGGAAUUGACGGGGACCCGCACAAGCAGUGGAGCGUGUUGUUUAAUUCGAUACGAAACGAAAAACCUCACCAGGGCUUGACAUGUAGCUGCAAAUCCCAGGAAACUGGGACUUCUUCGAGAGUGCUACACAGAUGCUGCAUGGCUGUCGUCAGCUCGUGGCGUGAAGUCUGAAAUAAGACUUUUUCGCGCCCUCCCGCCGUAAGACGGGAUGUAAAAUUCGGCUCAUAUCGGUGAAACUGAUUGACUUUUGGGUUACAUUUGGGUAAUCUGAAAGUAUAGGUAAUACCGAGGGAAGUCGGUUAGUAUGGACGGUAGAUGGUAGAGGAUAGAAGGUAGAGAUUUGAAGAUGGAUGGUAGAAAGUUUAAGAUGGAAGUAUGCUUAGAAGCUUUAAGGAUUUGGAAGUUUACAAAGAGAGUUACAAAUUAGCAAUUAUUGUUAAUCAAAACUGUAACAAGCUUCCAAUGUACGAGAAGAAUGACUUAACUUCUCAAUUAAGAAGAGCUUCGAAAUCAGUUCCAUCAAACCUAGCUGAAGGCUGGGCGAAAAGAAGGUUUGAAAAGGAGUUUAAAAAGCAUAUUGAUAGCGCACUCGGUUCAUGUAAUGAAAUGGAGGUGCAUCUAAAUAUGGCAAGAGAUUUAAACUACCUAAGUAGAACUCUUUGCGAUCAGCUUAUCAGUCAGUAUAUUCUUUUAGGUGGUAAAUUAACCAACCUUAGGAAUAACUGGAAAACUUAUUAAUCCAUUAUCCAUUUUCAAUCAUCAACAAUCUAUUUUCUAUUUUCCAUCAUCUAUCGUCUAAUUAACUUGACCCUGUAACGACUUACAUUUCAGGUACCAGAUAUUCUGGAAUUAAACUGAAAUUAUACGCCGAACAUCCUUUUUGGAAGGAUGAUGGGAUAGUCUAUUAUUGCUAAAACGCAAGAGCGUUGCUAACGCAAUAGGAGCUGUUAUCUUAAGUGAUGAAACGAGCGCAACCCUCACCGUAUGUUAAAUAAUUCAUGCGGAACAGCCCCGAUUUUUCGGGGAGGAAGGCGAGGAUGACGUCAAGUCAGCACGGUUCUUACGCCCUGGGCCACAAACACACUACAAUGGCGAAAAACAAUGAGUUGCAAGCUAGCAAUAGCAAGCUAAUCUCUGAAAUUUCGCCUCAGUUCAGAUUGGGGUCUGCAACCCGACCCCAUGAAGUCGGAAUUGCUAGUAAUCGCGGAUCAGCGUGCCGCGGUGAAUACGUUCUCGGGUCUUGUACACACCGCCCGUCUUAAUUUAGGCGGCCCAAGGAUGCGAAUCUUUGGGUAAAUCAGCUAAUAU
RNAcentral lists this ribosomal RNA (1526 nucleotides) under bacterium. RNAcentral's name for it is "16S ribosomal RNA". It matches the Rfam family "Bacterial small subunit ribosomal RNA", at positions 672 to 1448 of the family's 1533-position model. The record is from RNAcentral.